GGGCAAUCAAGACAACAAA
This 19-nucleotide unclassified non-coding RNA is filed under the name synthetic construct. The record is from RNAcentral.